GACGAACGCUGGCGGCGUGCCUAAUACAUGCAAGUAGAACGCUGAAGGAGGAGCUUGCUUCUCCGGAUGAGUUGCGAACGGGUGAGUAACGCGUAGGUAACCUGCCUGGUAGCGGGGGAUAACUAUUGGAAACGAUAGCUAAUACCGCAUAACAGUAGAUGUUGCAUGACAUUUGCUUAAAAGGUGCAAUUGCAUCACUACCAGAUGGACCUGCGUUGUAUUAGCUAGUUGGUGAGGUAACGGCUCACCAAGGCGACGAUACAUAGCCGACCCGAGAGGGUGAUCGGCCACACUGGGACUGAGACACGGCCCAGACUCCUACGGGAGGCAGCAGUAGGGAAUCUUCGGCAAUGGACGGAAGUCUGACCGAGCAACGCCGCGUGAGUGAAGAAGGUUUUCGGAUCGUAAAGCUCUGUUGUAAGAGAAGAACGAGUGUGAGAGUGGAAAGUUCACACUGUGACGGUAUCUUACCAGAAAGGGACGGCUAACUACGUG
This 495-nucleotide ribosomal RNA is filed under the name uncultured bacterium. Its description in RNAcentral is "partial 16S ribosomal RNA". It matches the Rfam family "Bacterial small subunit ribosomal RNA", at positions 28 to 507 of the family's 1533-position model. The record is from RNAcentral.